UACGUAGGAGGCAAGCGUUGUCCGGAAUUACUGGGCGUAAAGCGCGUGUAGGCUGCUUCGCAAGUCGGAUGUGAAAGCCCUGGGCUCAACCCCGGAAUGGCUUCGAAACUGCUGAGCUAGAGUACAGAAGGGGCAACCGGAAUUCCCAGUGUAGCGGUGAAAUGCGUAGAUAUUGGGAAGAACACCUGAGGCGAAGGCGGGUUGCUGGGCUGAUACUGACGCUGAGGCGCGAAAGCCAGGGGAGCAAACGGG
Molecule: ribosomal RNA, 252 nt
Filed under: uncultured bacterium
Lineage: Bacteria
Description: partial 16S ribosomal RNA
Rfam family: Bacterial small subunit ribosomal RNA
Source: RNAcentral